RNAcentral lists this transfer RNA (73 nucleotides) under Propionibacteriaceae bacterium. RNAcentral describes it as "tRNA-Leu(cag)". It matches the Rfam family "tRNA". Rfam says of the family: Transfer RNA (tRNA) molecules are approximately 80 nucleotides in length. The record is from RNAcentral. Lineage: Bacteria; Bacillati; Actinomycetota; Actinomycetes; Propionibacteriales; Propionibacteriaceae.
CGGCGUGUAGCUCAGCAGUCAGAGCGGCGGGCUCAGGACCCGCAGGGCGCAGGGGCAGCACCUGCCACGCCGG